AACGAACGCUGGCGGCAGGCUUAACACAUGCCAGUCGAGCGCCUCGCAAGAGGAGCGGCAGACGGGUGAGUAACGCGUGGGAACGUACCCUUAUCUUCGGAAUAGCUCUGGGAAACUGGAAGUAAUACCGAAUGUGCCCUUAGGGGGAAAGAUUUAUCGGAUAAGGAUCGGCCCGCGUUGGAUUAGCUAGUUGGUGGGGUAAAGGCCUACCAAGGCGACGAUCCAUAGCUGGUCUGAGAGGAUGAUCAGCCACAUUGGGACUGAGACACGGCCCAAACUCCUACGGGAGGCAGCAGUGGGGAAUAUUGGACAAUGGGCGCAAGCCUGAUCCAGCCAUGCCGCGUGAGUGAUGAAGGCCUUAGGGUUGUAAAGCUCUUUCACCGGAGAAGAUAAUGACGGUAUCCGGAGAAGAAGCCCCGGCUAACUUCGUG
RNAcentral lists this ribosomal RNA (431 nucleotides) under uncultured bacterium. RNAcentral's name for it is "partial 16S ribosomal RNA". It matches the Rfam family "Bacterial small subunit ribosomal RNA", at positions 29 to 507 of the family's 1533-position model. The record is from RNAcentral.